GCAAAAGGCUUAAGCCCUUUAAUCAGAGGUUCAAAUCCUCUCCCUAGCU
RNAcentral lists this transfer RNA (49 nucleotides) under Megaceryle alcyon (belted kingfisher). Its description in RNAcentral is "partial tRNA-Leu". It matches the Rfam family "tRNA", at positions 23 to 71 of the family's 71-position model. From Rfam's summary of the family: Transfer RNA (tRNA) molecules are approximately 80 nucleotides in length. Their secondary structure includes four short double-helical elements and three loops (D, anti-codon, and T loops). Further hydrogen bonds mediate the characteristic L-shaped molecular structure. tRNAs have two regions of fundamental functional importance: the anti-codon, which is responsible for specific mRNA codon recognition, and the 3' end, to which the tRNAs corresponding amino acid is attached (by aminoacyl-tRNA synthetases). tRNAs cope with the degeneracy of the genetic code in two manners: having more than one tRNA (with a specific anti-codon) for a particular amino acid; and 'wobble' base-pairing, i.e. permitting non-standard base-pairing at the 3rd anti-codon position. Lineage: Eukaryota; Metazoa; Chordata; Aves; Coraciiformes; Cerylidae. The record is from RNAcentral.